UUCGCCCUUUUCCGGUUGAUCCCGCCGGACCUGGCUGCUAUCGGAUUGAUACUAAGCCAUGCGAGUCAUUGUAGCAAUACAAGGCAUACGGCUCAGUAACGCGUAGUCAACCUAACCUAUGGACGGGAAUAACCUCGGGAAACUGAGAAUAAUGCCCGAUAGAACAUUAUGCCUGGAAUGGUUUAUGUUCCAAAUGAUUUAUCGCCGUAGGAUGGGACUGCGGCCUAUCAGUUUGUUGGUGAGGUAAUGGCCCACCAAGACUAUUACAGGUACGGGCUCUGAGAGGAGUAGCCCGGAGAUGGGUACUGAGACACGGACCCAGGCCCUAUGGGGCGCAGCAGGCGAGAAAACUUUGCAAUGUGCGAAAGCACGACAAGGUUAAUCCGAGUGGUUUCUGCUAAAGAAACCUUUUGUCAGUCCUAGAAACACUGAUGAAUAAGGG
RNAcentral lists this ribosomal RNA (442 nucleotides) under uncultured archaeon. RNAcentral's name for it is "bacterial SSU rRNA". It matches the Rfam family "Archaeal small subunit ribosomal RNA", at positions 1 to 441 of the family's 1478-position model. The record is from RNAcentral.